RNAcentral lists this long non-coding RNA (783 nucleotides) under Olea europaea subsp. europaea. The record is from RNAcentral. Lineage: Eukaryota; Viridiplantae; Streptophyta; Magnoliopsida; Lamiales; Oleaceae.
CCUGUCUCUGAUACAUUGUGUGGAUAUGCAUUCAUCUAUCUGGGUGUUGACUUAUUUAAGAAUUCAUAUCUGGGGGUUAACUUAUAAGAAUUCGAUAAACAUGUGUUUCAUGAUAACCUCUUCUUUUGCUAAGAUUGUGCAUUUUGCUCAUUGCAGCUAUGAAGCUACCUCCUCCACGAAGAAUCGUAGUCUUGCAAAGGAGCUCACGACUGGAGCAGUGGCAUCUGUCUUCUUGGUAUGUCAAUAAUAUCUAGCAUAUUCCUACUGUUCGUUUUACCAUCUAUUUCUUGGUCAUAACAAAUCCCUUUUCACUUGUCAGGGUUUCGGAUCCUUGUUCUUGCUGCUUUCUUCUGGCAUUUAUGUUUGAUUAAUUGAAUAGAUUUUGUUGAACAAACUUCCUUUACAUGGUUACUUAUUUGACAUUCUGAGGAUAACUUGAUUUCUGGGCAACAGGGACAUGCAAUUUGCAAGGCAAAGUGUGCCAAUGACACUGAUAUGAAUAGUAGAGAAAUAUCAAGUAUUUUUAGUCAAAGCAUGUUCUAAAUUUUGAUUUGUUAUACUAGCUGCCCCCUACUAUUUAUUUGCACAAACGGAACACGAGUUUCUCUAUCUCAUUAUUGGCUGUGGUUGCUGAAUAUAGAGUUCUGUAUUACUGUGAUUGGAGCACAGGGUGUUAAAGUUUGUAGCCGGGUUUUAGCUAAUUGCCUAAAAUUUUGCCUGAAAAUAAGCUCGAGAAAAUUACGAGAUGUUCUUGAAAAGAGACAGAACGAAGAAGGUUUACAG